This 447-nucleotide ribosomal RNA is filed under the name uncultured bacterium. RNAcentral's name for it is "SSU rRNA". It matches the Rfam family "Bacterial small subunit ribosomal RNA", at positions 26 to 518 of the family's 1533-position model. The record is from RNAcentral.
AGGAUGAACGCUGGCGGUCUGCUUAACACAUGCAAGUCGAACGGAGUAGCAAUACUUAGUGGCGGACGGGUGAGUAACGCGUGAGAAUCUACCUUCAGGACGGAGACAACAGUUGGAAACGACUGCUAACCCCCGAUGUAUCGAAAGGGCAAAUAUUUAUAGCCUGAAGAAGAGCUCGCGUCCGAUUAGCUAGUUGGAGAGGUAAAAGCUCACCAAGGCGACGAUCGGUAGCUGGUCUGAGAGGACGAUCAGCCACACUGGGACUGAGACACGGCCCAGACUCCUACGGGAGGCAGCAGUGGGAAUUUUCCGCAAUGGGCGAAAGCCUGACGGAGCAAGACCGCGUGAGGGAGGAAGGCUCUUGGGUUGUAAACCUCUUUUCUUGGGGAAGAACAAAAUGACGGUACCCAAGGAAUCAGCAUCGGCUAACUCCGUGCCAGCAGCCGC